Microbacterium sp. is the source of this 78-nucleotide non-coding RNA. NCBI's taxonomy places the organism in Bacteria, Bacillati, Actinomycetota, Actinomycetes, Micrococcales, Microbacteriaceae. The record is from Rfam.
AUUACCCUUCGUGAUGUGGUUAUUGCAGUCGUAAUUACUUGAUUGCAUAGGGCAAUAUUUUAUUGCCCUUUUAUUUUG